This 253-nucleotide ribosomal RNA is filed under the name uncultured bacterium. RNAcentral describes it as "partial 16S ribosomal RNA". It matches the Rfam family "Bacterial small subunit ribosomal RNA", at positions 524 to 776 of the family's 1533-position model. The record is from RNAcentral.
UACGGAGGGGGCGAGCGUUGUUCGGAAUUACUGGGCGUAAAGAGCGUGUAGGCGGUUAGGUAAGUCAGGCGUGAAAGCCCUCGGCUCAACCGAGGAAGGGCGCUUGAUACUGCUUUUCUAGAGUACGGGAGAGGAGGGUGGAAUUCCCGGUGUAGCGGUGAAAUGCGUAGAUAUCGGGAAGAACACCGGUGGCGAAGGCGGCCCUCUGGACCGUUACUGACGCUGAGACGCGAAAGCUAGGGGAGCAAACGGG